Molecule: ribosomal RNA, 269 nt
Filed under: uncultured bacterium
Lineage: Bacteria
Description: partial 16S ribosomal RNA
Rfam family: Bacterial small subunit ribosomal RNA
Source: RNAcentral
UUUCGCUGACGAGUGGCGGACGGGUGAGUAAUGUCUGGGAAACUGCCCGAUGGAGGGGGAUAACUACUGGAAACGGUAGCUAAUACCGCAUAACGUCGCAAGACCAAAGAGGGGGACCUUCGGGCCUCUUGCCAUCGGAUGUGCCCAGAUGGGAUUAGCUAGUAGGUGGGGUAACGGCUCACCUAGGCGACGAUCCCUAGCUGGUCUGAGAGGAAGGUCCCCCACAUUGGAACUGAGACACGGUCCAAACUCCUACGGGAGGCAGCAUG